RNAcentral lists this ribosomal RNA (299 nucleotides) under uncultured eukaryote. RNAcentral's name for it is "partial large subunit ribosomal RNA". It matches the Rfam family "Eukaryotic large subunit ribosomal RNA", at positions 40 to 350 of the family's 3401-position model. The record is from RNAcentral.
AUAUAACUAAGCGGAGGAAAAGAAACUAACCAGGAUUCCCUCAGUAACUGCGAGUGAAGCGGGAAAAGCUCAGACUGAAAACCUCGGGAUUGUAGUCUGGAGAAGCAUAGUCAGCCUAGAGCUGCGGGUCAAGUCUUCUGGAAAGGAGCGCCAUGGAGGGUUAUAGCCCCGUUCGUACCUGCGGAUCGAAGCGUACGACUUGCUUUCUACGAGUCGAGUUGUUUGGGAUUGCAGCUCUAAGUGGGUGGUAAAUUCCAUCUAAAGCUAAAUAUUGGUGGGAGACCGAUAGCGCACAAGUA